UGCUUGGUGUUUUGUGGCUG
Molecule: non-coding RNA, 20 nt
Filed under: Arabidopsis thaliana (thale cress)
Lineage: Eukaryota; Viridiplantae; Streptophyta; Magnoliopsida; Brassicales; Brassicaceae
Source: RNAcentral